GACUCCAUAACUUUUAGACCGUGA
This 24-nucleotide non-coding RNA is filed under the name Arabidopsis thaliana (thale cress). Lineage: Eukaryota; Viridiplantae; Streptophyta; Magnoliopsida; Brassicales; Brassicaceae. The record is from RNAcentral.